This is a long non-coding RNA of Pan troglodytes (chimpanzee), 661 nucleotides long. RefSeq lists it as uncharacterized. The transcript has 4 exons. The record is from RefSeq and is a predicted model, not a curated record. NCBI's taxonomy places the organism in Eukaryota, Metazoa, Chordata, Mammalia, Primates, Hominidae.
AGAAUUGAGGAACAGAGGAUCAGGAGCUUAAAUAACUCGCUUAACAUAAAACAUGGAGUCAACUAAGGCUUCCAUUUAACUAGGCUAUCAAACACAAAGCCCUCAUUCUUACAAUACUCUUCUAAUGAUAGUUCCGUCUUUGUGAACAUUCCAGAGAUGGGAUUUCACCGUGUUGCCUGUGGUGGGUGACUUGACUGCACAUCUUCUUUUCUGGAUGAGGAAACAGGGGAUUAAAAAUUUGGGCUUUGACCGAGUGUGGUGGCUCACGCCUGUAAUCCCAGCAAUUUGGGAGGCCGGAGGCAGGCAGAUCACUUGAAGUUAGGAGUUCAAGACCAGCCUAGUCAAUACGGAUCUCUACAUACAGUGUGAAAAAAAUAAGAGAAGAAAUGGAAGCCUAGAGGCAAGGAAAUGACAGAAGAAACUGUAGUGUUAAUCCAGAUAAGACAUUGAAGAGCUAAACCAGGAUUUUGGUAAGACAGAUGGAGAGAUGUGGAUGGAUCUGAAUGCUACCAAGAAGGUCAAAUUCAACGGUGCUUACAGGCAUACCUUGGAAACAUUGCAGAUUUAGUUCUAGAACACCACAGUAAAGCAAAUAUUGCAAGAAAAUGAAUCACAUGAAUUUUGGGUUUCCCAGCACACAUAAAAGUUAUGUUUACACUGU